CCGGGAAACCGGAGCUAAUACCGGAUAGUAUCUUGAACCGCAUGGUUCAAGUUGGAAAGACGGUUUCGGCUGUCACUUACAGAUGGGCCCGCGGCGCAUUAGCUAGUUGGUGAGGUAAUGGCUCACCAAGGCAACGAUGCGUAGCCGACCUGAGAGGGUGAUCGGCCACACUGGGACUGAGACACGGCCCAGACUCCUACGGGAGGCAGCAGUAGGGAAUCUUCCGCAAUGGACGAAAGUCUGACGGAGCAACGCCGCGUGAGUGAUGAAGGUUUUCGGAUCGUAAAACUCUGUUGUUAGGGAAGAACAAGUGCGAGAGUAACUGCUCGCACCUUGACGGUACCUAACCAGAAAGCCACGGCUAACUACGUGCCAGCAGCCGCGGUAAUACGUAGGUGGCAAGCGUUGUCCGGAAUUAUUGGGCGUAAAGCGCGCGCAGGCGGUUUCUUAAGUCUGAUGUGAAAGCCCCCGGCUCAACCGGGGAGGGUCAUUGGAAACUGGGAAACUUGAGUGCAGAAGAGGAGAGUGGAAUUCCACGUGUAGCGGUGAAAUGCGUAGAGAUGUGGAGGAACACCAGUGGCGAAGGCGACUCUCUGGUCUGUAACUGACGCUGAGGCGCGAAAGCGUGGGGAGCGAACAGGAUUAGAUACCCUGGUAGUCCACGCCGUAAACGAUGAGUGCUAAGUGUUAGAGGGUUUCCGCCCUUUAGUGCUGCAGCUAACGCAUUAAGCACUCCGCCUGGGGAGUACGGUCGCAAGACUGAAACUCAAAGGAAUUGACGGGGGCCCGCACAAGCGGUGGAGCAUGUGGUUUAAUUCGAAGCAACGCGAAGAACCUUACCAGGUCUUGACAUCCUUUGCCACUUCUAGAGAUAGAAGGUUCCCCUUCGGGGGACAAAGUGACAGGUGGUGCAUGGUUGUCGUCAGCUCGUGUCGUGAGAUGUUGGGGUUAAGUCCCGCAACGAGCGCAACCCUUGAUCUUAGUUGCCAGCAUUCAGUUGGGCACUCUAAGGUGACUGCCGGUGAAAACCGGAGGAAAGGGGGGGGAUGA
This 1050-nucleotide ribosomal RNA is filed under the name Bacillus sp. RS-CIW-46. RNAcentral's name for it is "bacterial SSU rRNA". It matches the Rfam family "Bacterial small subunit ribosomal RNA", at positions 149 to 1182 of the family's 1533-position model. The record is from RNAcentral. Lineage: Bacteria; Bacillati; Bacillota; Bacilli; Caryophanales; Bacillaceae.